CCUACGUGAGGCAGCAGUGAGGAAUAUUGGUCAAUGGACGAGAGCCUGAACCAGCCAAGUAGCGUGAAGGAUGACGGCCCUAUGGGUUGUAAACUUCUUUUGUAUGGGAGUAAAAUGUUCCACGUGUGGGGUUUUGUAUGUACCAUAUGAAUAAGGAUCGGCUAACUCCGUGCCAGCAGCCGCGGUAAUACGGAGGAUCCGAGCGUUAUCCGGAUUUAUUGGGUUUAAAGGGCGCGUAGGUGGAUUGUUAAGUCAGUUGUGAAAGUUUGCGGCUCAACCGUAAAAUUGCAGUUGAAACUGGCAGUCUUGAGUACAGUAGAGGUGGGCGGAAUUCGUGGUGUAGCGGUGAAAUGCUUAGAUAUCACGAAGAACUCCGAUUGCGAAGGCAGCUUACUGGACUGCAACUGACACUGAGGCUCGAAAGUGUGGGUAUCAAACAGGAUUAGAUACCCUUGUAGUC
Molecule: ribosomal RNA, 460 nt
Filed under: uncultured bacterium
Lineage: Bacteria
Description: partial 16S ribosomal RNA
Rfam family: Bacterial small subunit ribosomal RNA
Source: RNAcentral